CCUACGGGUGGCUGCAGUGAGGAAUAUUGGUCAAUGGCCGAGAGGCUGAACCAGCCAAGUCGCGUGAGGGAAGACGGCCCUACGGGUUGUAAACCUCUUUUGUCGGGGAGCAAAGCGAACCACGUGUGGUUCAUUGAGAGUACCCGAAGAAAAAGCAUCGGCUAACUCCGUGCCAGCAGCCGCGGUAAUACGGAGGGUGCGAGCGUUAUCCGGACUUAUUGGGUUUAAGGGGUGCGCAGGCGGAGGUGCAAGUCAGCGGUCAAAUUGCGGGGCUCAACCCCGUAGUGCCGUUGAAACUGCAUCCCUUGAGGGAGCGAGAAGUAUGCGGAAUGCGUGGUGUGGCGGUGAAAUGCAUAGAUAUCACGCAGAACUCCGAUUGCGAAGGCAGCAUACCGGCGCGCAACUGACGCUCAUGCACGAAAGCGUGGGUAUCGAACAGGAUUAGAUACCCUGGUAGUC
Molecule: ribosomal RNA, 459 nt
Filed under: uncultured bacterium
Lineage: Bacteria
Description: partial 16S ribosomal RNA
Rfam family: Bacterial small subunit ribosomal RNA
Source: RNAcentral